Molecule: long non-coding RNA, 830 nt
Filed under: Mytilus galloprovincialis (Mediterranean mussel)
Lineage: Eukaryota; Metazoa; Mollusca; Bivalvia; Mytilida; Mytilidae
Source: RNAcentral
AUAAAUUUAGAAUACUUGAAAGUAAAUAUCCUUCUUUUUCAAUCUCGAUAAACUUUGCAUAUCAUGUUGGCGUCGUCGUCGUCCUGCGUCGUCUUGCGUCGUCGUCGUCGUAGUCCGAAUACUUUUAGUUUUCGCACUCUAACUUUAGUAAAAGUGAAUAGAAAUCAAUGAAAUUUUAACAUAAGGUUUAUGACCACAAAAGGAAGGUUGGGAUUGAUUUUGGGAGUUUUGGUCCCAACAUUUUAGGAAUUAGGGGCCAAAAAGGGCCCAAAUAAGCAUUUUCUUGGUUUUCGCACUAUAACUUUAGUUUAAGUGAAUAGAAAUCUAUGAAAUUUUGACACAAGGUUUAUGACCACAAAAGGACGGUUGGGAUUGUCUUUGGGAGUUUUGGUUCCAACAGUUUAGGAAUUAAGGGCCCAAAUAAGCAUUAUUCUUGGUUUUCGCACAAUAACUUUAGUAUAAGUAAAUAGAAAUCAAUGAAAUUUAAACACAAGGUUUAUGACCACAAAGGGAAGGUUGGGAUUGAUUUUUGGAGUUGAGGUCACAACAGUUUAUGAAUUAGGGGCCAAAAAGGGGCCCAAAUAAGCAUUAUUUUUGGUUUUUGCACCAUAACUUUAGUAUAAGUAAAUAGAAAUCUAUGAAAUUUAAACACAAGGUUUAUGACCAUAAAAGGAAGGUUGGGAUUGAUUUUUGGAGUUUUGGUCCCAACAGUUUAGGAAUAAGGGCCCAAAGGGUCCAAAAUUGAACUUUGUGUGAUUUCAUCAAAAAUUGAAUAAUUGGGGUUCUUUGAUAUGCCGAAUCUAACUAUGUAUGUAGAUUCUUAAUUUUUG